CGCUCUCUCGAAAAAGCUGGAACCAGCUUGUUCCACCUAAGGGACGAAAACGCCAGUUCCCACCUCUCUCCUUUUUUUGUUUGGAUACAAAGGGAAGGAUAAGGUCUUAUUCUCCCCUCUUAUAUCCAAACUAAACAACACCUAAACGUUUUCUCCUUCUUAUUAAAGUUAUAUUUUGAAUGUCGUUGUGGAAAACUACCGCCACGAGAGCCACUUCGAGCUUAUUGAAAGCUAGGUUUGCUAGCAUGCUCUUGCUACUAAUUGGAUGAAUUGAUUUCUUUGGUCACCUUGGGCUGGGUGGCUCGAAGCCUCGAACGAGAAUUGGAGUCAUAUAUGUAAUUCGUGUUGGAUAUUAAUUUGGGCUAAACUGUAGACAACAGCAAUGCACUAGAAGUUGAUUAUACUUCUAGAAAAACAUGACUUCACCCAAGGAAUGAGAAUCUCAAAGAGCAUAUUCAAAAAUAACUUGGAGAGAGAAAAUUAAUUAUUCAACGUUAGAGGUUUAUAUGUUUUCUCUGUUUUAAUUUGUUUUCAUAUUCUAAUUACAAGAGAAGUACCAUUGAAUUGCGGAAUUUCAGA
Molecule: long non-coding RNA, 579 nt
Organism: Ananas comosus (pineapple)
Lineage: Eukaryota; Viridiplantae; Streptophyta; Magnoliopsida; Poales; Bromeliaceae
Exons: 3
Source: RefSeq, a predicted model, not a curated record